RNAcentral lists this ribosomal RNA (744 nucleotides) under uncultured bacterium. RNAcentral's name for it is "bacterial SSU rRNA". It matches the Rfam family "Bacterial small subunit ribosomal RNA", at positions 1 to 740 of the family's 1533-position model. The record is from RNAcentral.
UAGAGUUUGAUCAUGGCUCAGAUUGAACGCUGGCGGCAGGCCUAACACAUGCAAGUCGAGCGGCAGCGGGAAGUAGCUUGCUACUUUGCCGGCGAGCGGCGGACGGGUGAGUAAUGUCUGGGAAACUGCCUGAUGGAGGGGGAUAACUACUGGAAACGGUAGCUAAUACCGCAUGACGUCGCAAGACCAAAGUGGGGGACCUUCGGGCCUCACGCCAUCGGAUGUGCCCAGAUGGGAUUAGCUAGUAGGUGAGGUAAUGGCUCACCUAGGCGACGAUCCCUAGCUGGUCUGAGAGGAUGACCAGCCACACUGGAACUGAGACACGGUCCAGACUCCUACGGGAGGCAGCAGUGGGGAAUAUUGCACAAUGGGCGCAAGCCUGAUGCAGCCAUGCCGCGUGUGUGAAGAAGGCCUUAGGGUUGUAAAGCACUUUCAGCGAGGAGGAAGGCGUUGUAGUUAAUAGCUGCAACGAUUGACGUUACUCGCAGAAGAAGCACCGGCUAACUCCGUGCCAGCAGCCGCGGUAAUACGGAGGGUGCAAGCGUUAAUCGGAAUUACUGGGCGUAAAGCGCACGCAGGCGGUUUGUUAAGUCAGAUGUGAAAUCCCCGAGCUUAACUUGGGAACUGCAUUUGAAACUGGCAAGCUAGAGUCUUGUAGAGGGGGGUAGAAUUCCAGGUGUAGCGGUGAAAUGCGUAGAGAUCUGGAGGAAUACCGGUGGCGAAGGCGGCCCCCUGGACAAAGAC